Long non-coding RNA from Aedes albopictus (Asian tiger mosquito), 3368 nucleotides. RefSeq lists it as uncharacterized. NCBI's taxonomy places the organism in Eukaryota, Metazoa, Arthropoda, Insecta, Diptera, Culicidae. The record is from RefSeq and is a predicted model, not a curated record. The transcript is spliced from 2 exons.
UGUUUUUCAUUUCCUUCUAACACAUUCUUUAUUAACUCUCUAAUGCCCAAUUUUUUUAUUUUGAUCUAAAUAUUAUUUUUCGUCAUCUGAAAUCGAUUUAACCUUCCGGGACGCGCGCCAUCAAGCAACCGAAACUGCACCGCGCUCGCACUGUAUACGAAAAGCGAGGUUUUUUGGUGGUGUUGUACUUUUUACAACAGCGCGCGCGCUGAAGGGUUAAACAUGUUUUGGAAAAUGAUUCUUUUCUAAUUCUCGAUUUUGUGAAUUUCCGUUUAAAAUUUUUUCUUAUUUUUGUUUUUGAAUAUCCCCACACUUUAAUAUAUUUCCUGGAAGCUUAUGCGGGAUACGGAUUUUUUUAGGCGAAAACAUUUUGAGAUAUUGUUGAAAUAUUUUCAUUUUAAGUUGUUUUCAUGGAAAAUCUUAUUUUUUGUGUAAUUUUAAGCAAAAUAAUUCGACUAUUUAAGGCUCAAUUGAAAAUGGCAAAUGUUUCAAAACUAAAAAAGCACUUUUUCUCAAAAUGAUCCACAAAUCGAAGAGCCCUUAGAAUGGUGCUUUGCGGCGUAAGAUCUACCACCACAUCAAAUUUCGAUCUUGUUAAUGUUUUCAUAAGGGCUGAAAGUCUCUCUAAUAAAGACAAAUUAAUCAAUUCAAUUCAAUUCAAUUCAAUUUAUUUUUCUGUAGUCAAUAACACUAUUUUAAAGAAAGAACUUAACAUUAACAAAUUCAGAGAUUUGGAUAACCUUACAACUAAGAACAAUUCAAUUUCAUUAAUAGAGACGUAUGUACAACAUUUAGAAAUUGCUAGCUACGAGUAGCUUUUUUAGGGAAAACGAGUUUUAAGAUUGAAAAAAAAACCCCUAGAUUUCAUGAUUCUUAACGCUAAUAUCACAAAUGUUGAAGGUGGAGUGCUUCGAUGAGCGGAUUUGCGGACAUCGCACAGGAAGUCCUAAAGGAUCUUGUAGCACGUUCGAUGCUUGCGUCAAUUGUAUCGACACCAGCCAGCUUGUGGAGAUCAUCGGUCGGAUACCACGGGUUCAGUUUGUAGACUAUCUUGAGCAACUUGUUCUGCUUCACCUGUAGUCGUUUACAGUGCGAUUUGGCGCAGUUGCCCCAAACCGCGGACGCAUAGAUUAGCAUUGGCCGGAUGAUACACUUGACCACCAACUACUUGUUCUUCACGCGCAGCUUCGAUCGGCGACUCAGCAAAGAAUAUAGGGCUUUGGUCGACCGAUCCACCUUUCCAGCGAUGUAGUUUACGUGCUUAUCGAACUUGAGCUUCUGGUCAAAAAUCACUCCCAAAUAAAUACUUUACUUCGUCAUAUCACAUGGAACUGCUGUCUAGGGAUAUGAGCCAUGAACACUCAUUUUUAUAUUUUGUGCUAACGUAAGAACUGUGGAGGACGGAGACAGCCGGAUAUAAAAAAGGCAAUAAACGGACGCGAGUACUUAACAAAAUACGAUUUAUUUGAUCUUCGAAUUUAGCGCGUUGUUACAGGUACGAACUCUCACUUCGAUCUGGUUGGUUAACUCUCGUCGUCGUCGUUUAUGCUCUCUUAGUGUGAGUGGCUACCAGGGGUGUGCCAGUCGCCACAGCGCCCCCCCAGUUACACCAAGAACCUUACGCGGUGGCCAGUAGGUGUAACUAUAGUCUUCUUAUUUUCAGGAUAGCUGGUUACGGUUUCUGGUCCGGUGUGAGCUGGUUUUACCCGAUCAAUCGAAAUUCUUUGCACUUUUUGAUUUACUAUGACGUCUAAAUACUUGUCUGUACGACUAACAACACGGAAUGGACCGUCAUACGGUCGUUGUAGAGAUUUCUGCACGGCAUCAUAACGUACAAAUACAUGUGUGCAGUCCUUCAAUUUUUCAUUUACGAACACUUUCGCUUUGGUGUGAUGUUUAGCUACGACUGGUCUGAUUUGGUCCAUUACUCGAUGAAGGUCCAACGAAAAAUCAGCACGAUCGUUGAUCUUCUCCAGGGGUUCGAAGAACUCUCCAGGUAGACGCAAGGGUUGACCGUACACUAACUCGGCGGGGGAGCAAUCCAUAUCUUCCUUAACAGCGGUUCGCAAACCUAACAGAAUUAAUGGAAGUCGAAUAAACCACUUCUUGGCGUCGACGCACAUGAUGGCCUCCUUUAGCUGUCGAUGAAAACGUUCGACCAUCCCGUUUGCUUGUGGGUGGUACGCCGUUGUCCGUGUGUGGUUGGCUCCUAGUAAAAUCGUCAGCUCCCUGAAUAACUCGGACUCAAAUUGACGUCCCUGAUCUGUUGUAAUGUAUUCAGGGCAGCCAAAACGCGCGAUCCAUUGCGCAGAGUGCCAUUGCUACAAUGUUCGCCGUCAUAUUCUCCAGAGGGAUCGCCUCGGGCCAUCUGGUAUAUCGAUCUACAAUUGUAAGAAGAUAUGUAUGACCGUUAGACGGUGGCAAUGGACCCACAAGGUCAAGAUGGAUGUGGUUGAAACGGCAUUUGGUUGCAAACCCUCCUCAGGACAACAAAUACCAAGCCAUUAAAGACAGACUGUUGAGCCGCUUCGAAAUGUCGGCUCAAGCUAAAAUGGAGAAACUUCUAAAUUCGUGUGACUUGGGCGACAUGAAGCCGACGCAUCUGUUGGCCCGGAUGCAGGAUUUGGCAGCUGGUCUAAAUGUGGACGACGGUCUAAUGAAGAUGCUGUUUUUGCAGCGGCUGCCAGCAAACGUCAAAACUGUGUUGACGAUCCACGACGGCACGCUAACCAAGCUGGCGGAGAUGGCAGAUAAGAUGGUGGAAUCUUCCUGCUCCCAUGUUGCAGCAAUGACGUCGCAACCAGCUGUCCCGUCUACGGAGGAACUUGCAGAGCAAAUUGCCUGUUUAAAAGCAGAAAUCCGCAAGUUAAAAGCUGGAAAAAUCAGGAAUGAGAGAAGCCGAUCCUCGUCUCGCGCACGGCAACGAUUCAGUGACCGUAGUAUCGUGUGCUGGUACCACAAAAAGUACGGCGCUCAAGCUAAUCAGUGUCGCGAGCCGUGCGCGUUCGGAAAUUCUGUCUAGGACAUCGCACAGGAAGUCCUAAAGGAUCUUGUAGCACGUUCGAUGCUUGCGUCAAUUGUAUCGACACCAGCCAGCUUGUGGAGAUCAUCGGUCGGAUACCACGGGUUCAGGUUGUAGACCAUCUUGAGCAGCUUGUUCUGCUUCACCUGUAGUCGUUUACAGUGCGAUUUGACGCAGUUCCCCCAAACCGCGGACGCAUAGAUUAGCAUUGGCCGGAUGAUACACUUGACCACCAACUACUUGUUCUUCACGCGCAGCUUCGAUCGGCGACUCAGCAAAGAAUAUAGGGCUUUGGUCGACCGAUCCACCUUUCCAGCGAUGUAGUUUACGUGCUUAUCGAACUUGA